Molecule: ribosomal RNA, 412 nt
Filed under: bacterium enrichment culture clone ALO1_GLFRUDD03GHJSR
Lineage: Bacteria
Description: bacterial SSU rRNA
Rfam family: Bacterial small subunit ribosomal RNA
Source: RNAcentral
GAGUUUGAUCUUGGCUCAGAUUGAACGCUGGCGGCAUGCCUUACACAUGCAAGUCGAACGGCAGCACGGGAGCUUGCUCCUGGUGGCGAGUGGCGAACGGGUGAGUAAUGCAUCGGAACGUAUCCUGGAGUGGGGGAUAACGUAGCGAAAGUUACGCUAAUACCGCAUAUUCUGUGAGCAGGAAAGCGGGGGACCUUCGGGCCUCGCGCUCUUGGAGCGGCCGAUGUCGGAUUAGCUAGUUGGUGAGGUAAAGGCUCACCAAGGCGACGAUCCGUAGCAGGUCUGAGAGGAUGAUCUGCCACACUGGAACUGAGACACGGUCCAGACUCCUACGGGAGGCAGCAGUGGGGAAUUUUGGACAAUGGGGGCAACCCUGAUCCAGCCAUGCCGCGUGAGUGAAGAAGGGCCUCGG